Molecule: ribosomal RNA, 259 nt
Filed under: uncultured bacterium
Lineage: Bacteria
Description: partial small subunit ribosomal RNA
Rfam family: Bacterial small subunit ribosomal RNA
Source: RNAcentral
AGGACGAACGCUGGCGGCGUGCUUAACACAUGCAAGUCGAGCGAGGCCCGUUCCUUCGGGAACGGUGCCCUAGCGGCGAACGGGUGAGUAACACGUGAGUAAUCUGCCCCUAGCUCUGGGAUAGCUCCGGGAAACCGGGAUUAAUACCGGAUAUGACCACUUUAGACAUCUGCUGUGGUGGAAAGAAUUUCGGCUAGGGAUGAGCUCGCGGCCUAUCAGCUUGUUGGUGGGUAACGGCCUACCAAGGCGACGACGGGUA